This 124-nucleotide unclassified non-coding RNA is filed under the name Phytophthora citrophthora. RNAcentral describes it as "partial ITS1". The record is from RNAcentral. Lineage: Eukaryota; Oomycota; Peronosporomycetes; Peronosporales; Peronosporaceae.
GCUGAGCCGCGCCCUAUCAUGGCGAAUGUUUGGACUUCGGUCUGGGCUAGUAGCUUUUUUGUUUUAAACCAUUUAACAAUACUGAUUAUACUGUGGGGACGAAAGUCUCUGCUUUUAACUAGAU